AUCAGAAUGGUGAGCUAUUCCUGGGCAGAGCGAAGCCAGAGGAAACUCUGGUGGAGGCCCACAGCGGUCCGGAUGUGCAAAUCGGUCAUCUGACCUGGGUAUAGGAGCGAAAGACUAAUCGAACCAUAUAGUAACUGG
This 138-nucleotide non-coding RNA is filed under the name Danio rerio (zebrafish). Its description in RNAcentral is "Eukaryotic large subunit ribosomal RNA". It matches the Rfam family "Eukaryotic large subunit ribosomal RNA", at positions 822 to 949 of the family's 3401-position model. Lineage: Eukaryota; Metazoa; Chordata; Actinopteri; Cypriniformes; Danionidae. The record is from Rfam by way of RNAcentral.